GGGAGUGAAAUAGAACCUGAAACCCUGCACUUACAAGCUGUGGAAGCACAUUUCUUGUGUGACCGCGUACUUUUUGUAGAACGGGCCAACGAGUUACGUUAAGUAGCAAGGUUAAGCACUUAAGGUGCGGAGCCGUAGCGAAAGCGAGUUUUAACUGAGCGUUCAGUUACUUGCCGUAGACCCGAAACCGGGCGACCUACCCAUGAGCAGGAUGAAGCGAAAGUAAAAUUUCGUGGAGGUCCGAACCCACGAGCGUUGAAAAGCCCGGGGAUGACUUGUGGGUAGCGGUGAAAUUCCAAUCGAGCCCGGAGAUAGCUGGUUCUCCCCGAAAUAGCUUUAGGGCUAGCCUCAAGGGGAGAGAUACGGAGGUAGAGCACUGAAUGUCCUAGGGG
This 392-nucleotide ribosomal RNA is filed under the name Clostridioides difficile. RNAcentral describes it as "bacterial LSU rRNA". It matches the Rfam family "Bacterial large subunit ribosomal RNA", at positions 534 to 925 of the family's 2925-position model. Lineage: Bacteria; Bacillati; Bacillota; Clostridia; Peptostreptococcales; Peptostreptococcaceae. The record is from RNAcentral.